Molecule: unclassified non-coding RNA, 690 nt
Filed under: Hevea brasiliensis (rubber tree)
Lineage: Eukaryota; Viridiplantae; Streptophyta; Magnoliopsida; Malpighiales; Euphorbiaceae
Source: RNAcentral
GGGGGGGGGGGGGGGAUUCCGUUUUCCACCUCUGAAUUUUGUGUUUCCUGAAACCAAAUCCAUUGAUUUAAUUAUCCAUCCUCUGAAUUUUGGGAAUUUGCCGAUUAGGGUUUCUGGUGCCUGAUAUGUGAAAAGGAGUUUCUCUGUGCGAGGAUGCCAGCUACAGAUUAUCAGGGUUCGUCGGCUGCUUUUACCAACAUCGGCCGUCCAGUUCAGAGUAUUCGACGAGAUCAGCUUUACGCUAUGGAUGGUUCUCCCACGUCUCACGAGCAGGAUCUUGAUUCCUUUCAGAGGCAAGUUACUGACCGUUUCAUGGACCUUGCAUCGGUUGGUCCUGAGGAGUUGCUUUCCCUAUCAUGGGUUCAUAAGCUUUUGAAUUCCUUCUUGUGCUGUCAGGAAGAGUUUAAACUCGUUCUCCUUAGCCACAAAUCUCAAAUCUCUAGACCCCCUUUGGACCGUUUGGUUGCUGAUUAUUCGGAGAGAAGCGUUAAGGCGCUUGAUGUGUGUAAUGCGAUUCGUGAUGGGAUUGAGCAACUCCGGCAAUGGCAGAAGCUUUUGGAGAUUGUUCUUAGUGCGUUGGAUAAUUGUAAUCAUCAGAAGACUCUUGGAGAGGGUCAAUUUCGUCGCGCCAAGAAGGCUCUUAUUGAUUUGGCUAUUUGUAUGUUGGAUGAGAAAGAUUCGCAUACCUCU